RNAcentral lists this transfer RNA (71 nucleotides) under Pygoplites diacanthus. RNAcentral describes it as "tRNA-Arg". It matches the Rfam family "tRNA". From Rfam's summary of the family: Transfer RNA (tRNA) molecules are approximately 80 nucleotides in length. Their secondary structure includes four short double-helical elements and three loops (D, anti-codon, and T loops). Lineage: Eukaryota; Metazoa; Chordata; Actinopteri; Pomacanthidae. The record is from RNAcentral.
UAGGCAGUUAGUUUAAGAAAAACAUUUGAUUUCGGCUCAAAAACUUCUGGUUAAAGUCCAUAACUACCUAA